GGCGUGGCGGCAGACUACCAUGCAGUCGAGCGGUACAGGAAGCAGCUUGCUGUUUUGCUGACGAGUGGCGGACGGGUGAGUAAUGUCUGGGAAACUGCCUGAUGGAGGGGGAUAACUACUGGAAACGGUAGCUAAUACCGCAUAACGUCGCAAGACCAAAGAGGGGGACCUUCGGGCCUCUUGCCAUCAGAUGUGCCCAGAUGGGAUUAGCUAGUAGGUGGGGUAACGGCUCACCUAGGCGACGAUCCCUAGCUGGUCUGAGAGGAUGACCAGCCACACUGGAACUGAGACACGGUCCAGACUCCUACGGGAGGCAGCAGUGGGGAAUAUUGCACAAUGGGCGCAAGCCUGAUGCACCCAUGCCGCGUGUAUGAAAAAGGCCUUCGGGUUGUAAAGUACUUUCAGCGGGGAGGAAGGGAUUGAGGUUAAUACCUUUGCUCAUUGACGUUACCCGCAGAAGAAGCACCGGCUAACUCCGUGCCAGCAGCCGCGGUAAUACGGAGGGUGCAAGCGUUAAUCGGAAUUACUGGGCGUAAAGCGCACGCAGGCGGUUUGUCAAGUCAGAUGUGAAAUCCCCGGGCUCAACCUGGGAACUGCAUCUGAUACUGGCAAGCUAGAGUCUUGUAGAGGGGGGUAGAAUUCCAGGUGUAGCGGUGAAAUGCAUAGAGAUCUGGAGGAAUACCGGUGGCGAAGGCGGCCCCCUGGACAAACACUGACGCUCAGUGCGAAAGCGUGGGGAGCAAAGAGGGAUUAGAUACCCUGGUAGUCCACGCCGUAAACGAUGUCGACUUGGAGGUUGUGCUCUGUGAGGCGUCGCCUUCCAGGAGCUAACUCGUUAAGUCCACCCGCCUGGAGGAGUACCGCCGCGAUGAUACAGCUCAAUAUGAUUUGACGGUGGCCCGCACCAGCGGGUGGGAGCUUGUUGUUCUUAUUACUAUGCAUCGCGAGAGCAUUCCUCUAGUUCUUGACAUGCACAGGAGUUUCAUAUAUGAUAUGCUGUCUUUCGGGAGCUAUGACACAGAUGCUGCAUGUCUGUCUCAGCUCGUGUCGUGAAUGAUAGGGUUAGUCCACAACAGCGCACUCAUAUCAUGUUGCCAGCGUCCGCCGCACUCAAGAACUGCAUGCAUACCUGAGAGUGGGAUGACGUCAUCAUCUUGGCUGAGUGUCACCAGUCUAAUGCGCUACAGGAAGGAACUCCAGGUCA
This 1204-nucleotide ribosomal RNA is filed under the name Shigella sonnei. RNAcentral's name for it is "bacterial SSU rRNA". It matches the Rfam family "Bacterial small subunit ribosomal RNA", at positions 32 to 1249 of the family's 1533-position model. The record is from RNAcentral. Lineage: Bacteria; Pseudomonadati; Pseudomonadota; Gammaproteobacteria; Enterobacterales; Enterobacteriaceae.